AAAAAAGCGUAACAAGGUUUCCGUAGGUGAACCUGCGGAAGGAUCAUUG
This 49-nucleotide ribosomal RNA is filed under the name Ageratum conyzoides. RNAcentral describes it as "partial 18S ribosomal RNA". It matches the Rfam family "Eukaryotic small subunit ribosomal RNA", at positions 1783 to 1831 of the family's 1831-position model. Lineage: Eukaryota; Viridiplantae; Streptophyta; Magnoliopsida; Asterales; Asteraceae. The record is from RNAcentral. RNAcentral also lists the same sequence under 1 other name.